UGCUAUCACUUUGGGAUGGACCCGCGCCGUAUUAGUUAGUUGGUGAGAUAAAAGCCCACCAAGACGAUGAUACGUAGCCGACCUGAGAGGGUAAUCGGCCACAUUGGGACUGAGACACGGCCCAGACUCCUACGGGAGGCAGCAGUAGGGAAUCUUCCACAAUGGACGAAAGUCUGAUGGAGCAACGCCGCGUGAGUGAUGAAGGUUUUCGGAUCGUAAAACUCUGUUGUUAAAGAAGAACAAGUGUUAGAGUAACUGUUAACACUUUGACGGUAUUUAACCAGAAAGCCACGGCUAACUACGUGCCAGCAG
RNAcentral lists this ribosomal RNA (312 nucleotides) under Apilactobacillus kunkeei. RNAcentral describes it as "bacterial SSU rRNA". It matches the Rfam family "Bacterial small subunit ribosomal RNA", at positions 210 to 514 of the family's 1533-position model. The record is from RNAcentral. Lineage: Bacteria; Bacillati; Bacillota; Bacilli; Lactobacillales; Lactobacillaceae.